AUGUGGUUGAGUGAUCACCAGAUAAUAAUUCAUAAGUCCCUAUGCUUCACGGUAUAGGAAGCAUAUAUAUCUGCAGUACUGGCGGAGAUUCAUUCUGCACAAAGUGUGUCUGCUGGACCAGAGGCUGUGGUAAUGCCACGCUUUCACUCCAUGUAGUGCCCAAUUGCACUCAGUUCAUUGGGUAUUUGGUCUAAUUGCCUUUUUAUGUAUAGAUGAUGAAGCACAUGACCUGGCAGAAUUUUCCCCCACUCCCGAUGGCCGUUUCCAUCUCUGCAAGGGGGUGAAAAUCACAGCAGACCAGGCGGCAAAGAUUUUAAGAAACAAGAAGGCCACGAUUGUCAAACGUGAUACAGCCCAAGCAAUUUGGGGUCUCGAGGCAUGGCCCUAAGAACAGUGAGUGGCCGAUUAGUGCCUGGUGAGACAACAAAGCAGCUCACACCUGCCAAAGUUCAAGUUGUGCAAGAAUGCCUGGCCUACUGGGGCAGAACAAACAACCAGGACAUUGCAGUGGCUGCCCAUGGAGUGCUGAGGGUCUUAAGUGAAAAGAUUCAAGAUGUGAAAAAGAAGCUUAAGCUCGGCAAGGAGUAGUCUCCGAGGAGUGUAGCCUUUACUGGCAAUAAAGUCUCUUCUGAAACCUUGCCUCGUUAUUGCAUGAGGAAGUACACGUUUUUGACUGGGAACAGCAUGUUUCUCGUUUGAAAUGCUCCCGACAUCACACCUGCAUUGCUUCUAUUUCUGGCUGGAACGGUUUCCAUUUCCGGGUGGAUUGGCAUCCAUUUCCGG
Dermacentor silvarum is the source of this 783-nucleotide long non-coding RNA. RefSeq lists it as uncharacterized. The transcript is spliced from 3 exons. Lineage: Eukaryota; Metazoa; Arthropoda; Arachnida; Ixodida; Ixodidae. The record is from RefSeq and is a predicted model, not a curated record.